GUAGGUGAACCUGCGGAAGGAUCAUUAACAAAAGACCUGGCUCUUUAGGGGGCCGGGCAACCGUGGGUGCGCGCGGACACGGCGGCUACUUGUUGUGGCUGCUGUUCCCCCGUGCGCCUCACACCCAACACACACACCUGUCUUGUUGAAUUUGUAGUCUGGCGGGUUUUGGAGCGUAUGCGUGUGUGUGUAGUGAUAUGCACACACGCGCGCACCGACUCUGACUGCUUCGCGCAGUCAUUGCGGCUCGCCAGCAGCACUCUUACACCAAAUACACACUCUAUUUUAUUGACUGAUACACAUUUGUUUUAAAUACAAAAAAAUACAAAACAACUGUUAGCAACGGAUCACUCGGUUCUC
Molecule: unclassified non-coding RNA, 360 nt
Filed under: rhizosphere metagenome
Description: partial ribosomal RNA internal transcribed spacer region
Source: RNAcentral